Molecule: ribosomal RNA, 375 nt
Filed under: uncultured Glomeromycotina
Lineage: Eukaryota; Fungi; Glomeromycota
Description: LSU rRNA
Source: RNAcentral
UUGAAAGGGAAACGAUUGAAGUCAGUCAUACCAACGGGAAAUCAACCUCUUGAGCUCGGUCUCGUGGGUUUUGAAGAGUUUCAAAGCCUUCGGAUUCGCGAGAUUGGGAUCUCUUGGUGUACUUUUUCGUACGGUUAGUCAACAUCGGUUUUGUAUGUCAUAAAAUGACUGGAGGAAUGUAGCUUCGAUCUCGUAUUGAAGUGUUAUAGCCUUUGGUAGAUGUGAUGUUUGAGACCGAGGAUUGCAGCGGAUACCCUUCAGGGCUAUUCGUCUGAUCUCUGAUACGUUGCCUUGAUGUCGAAAGCUCGCCUAUGAUGUUAGGGUAUUACGGUCAAAAGGUUAGAGCGAAUUACAUUCGUUAAGGAUGUUGACGUA